This 263-nucleotide ribosomal RNA is filed under the name uncultured bacterium. RNAcentral describes it as "partial 16S ribosomal RNA". It matches the Rfam family "Bacterial small subunit ribosomal RNA", at positions 793 to 1055 of the family's 1533-position model. The record is from RNAcentral.
GUCCACGCCCUAAACGAUGGCAACUAGUUGUUGGGGAUUAACAUCCUUAGUAACGCAGCUAACGCGUGAAGUUGCCCGCCUGGGGAGUACGGUCGCAAGAUUAAAACUCAAAGGAAUUGACGGGGCCCGCACAAGCGGUGGAUGAUGUGGUUUAAUUCGAUGCAACGCGAAAACCUUACCUACCCUUGACAUGCCAGGAAGGCCGCAGAGAUGUGGUUGUGCCCCGAAAGGGAACCUGGACACAGGUGCUGCAUGGCUGUCGU